Molecule: ribosomal RNA, 500 nt
Filed under: uncultured bacterium
Lineage: Bacteria
Description: bacterial SSU rRNA
Rfam family: Bacterial small subunit ribosomal RNA
Source: RNAcentral
AUCCUGGCUCAGGAUGAACGCUAGCGGCAGGCUUAAUACAUGCAAGUCGAGGGGCAGCAUGACUGUAGCAAUACAGUUGAUGGCGACCGGCAAACGGGUGCGGAACACGUACAGAACCUUCCUUCGAGCGGGGAAUAGCCCAGAGAAAUUUGGAUUAAUACCCCAUAGUACAACGGAGUGGCAUCACUUUGUUGUUAAAGAUUUAUCACUUGAAGAUGGCUGUGCGGCUGAUUAGGUAGUUGGCGGGGUAACGGCCCACCAAGCCUGCGAUCAGUAACUGGUGUGAGAGCACGACCAGCCACACGGGCACUGAGACACGGGCCCGACUCCUACGGGAGGCAGCAGUAAGGAAUAUUGGUCAAUGGACGAAAGUCUGAACCAGCCAUGCCGCGUGGAGGAUGAAGGUCCUCUGGAUUGUAAACUUCUUUUAUAUGGGACGAAAAAAGGGUUUUCUAACUCGUCUGACGGUACCAUAUGAAUAAGCACCGGCUAACUCCGUG